Long non-coding RNA from Brachypodium distachyon (stiff brome), 848 nucleotides. RefSeq lists it as uncharacterized. The transcript is spliced from 2 exons. NCBI's taxonomy places the organism in Eukaryota, Viridiplantae, Streptophyta, Magnoliopsida, Poales, Poaceae. The record is from RefSeq and is a predicted model, not a curated record.
AGUCUUUCAUCGAUUGUCUAUAUUGUGAAAGAGAUAUAAUUAAUUUAGGCAUCAGUCUUCAUCAGCAAAAGUAAAAUUGAACCAUGUUUGUAUAGCCGUGUUUGUACGCAUAGCCUUGGCAUAUCAAUGCUUAAUUAAUGGCAAAACCAAACUGAAGAAGGGUCGCUACUCACUACUCAUCAAGGGGAGGCACCGGCAGGCCUAUCGCUGGAGAUGGCGGGGAAAGGAGUGGCCCGACUGCUCCAUAAAGUUCGUCCAUGGCGGCUUGGGCGUGGGAAGGCGAAGGAAGCCUAUGGGACGCAGUGGAUGGCCUCAGCUUGCCGUCCAUGGCAGCUACGGGGCAGGGAUGAGAUGGGAGGCGACGGGGGACGGUGGGACUCAGCCUCCAUUCCCGUUCAUGGUGUGGAGCUGGAGAUGGUGAAGGGGCAGCCAGAGAUGAUGGGGCGGCCGGAGGUGACGCUUCUCCGGGGAUUUUAUCCCUCUGUCGCCGGCAGGGUGGCGCUGGUGGCCGGUGGGGUGCUCGGGGAUGGGUAGGAGCACGGUGGAGGUAGAGCACAGCGUGGGAACGACGCUUCCGGAGGAGCAGGGAAAUCGUGCGUGGAAAAAGUUAUGGGCUAGGCCCGGACAGAACGCAGACCGGACACCCCAUUUCUCCCCCAAAUUUGGGCCAACUUUGGGGGAUAUGUCCAGACAAAAGUGACAAUUUGUCUGUUUGGGAUAGCCCAUUGGGAGAUGGUUUUUGGCCCAAUAUGUCCGUUUGUCCUAAAUAGGACAUUUGGGAUGGCUUUGGGGUAGCCAUUUGAGAUGCUCUAAAUUCCCUGGUCAAUAAAAAUCAACCUUCUCAAAAA